CAAAUUAGAGUCUGGGAAUGUAC
Molecule: non-coding RNA, 23 nt
Filed under: Cricetulus griseus (Chinese hamster)
Lineage: Eukaryota; Metazoa; Chordata; Mammalia; Rodentia; Cricetidae
Source: RNAcentral